AUGGCCGGCAAUUCGAUUGCGAAACACGGGUAAUGCCCUCUUCCAUCUCAAUUCCGAACAGCAGUAACAGCAAUGUCGCCUCCCAUUCCGGUCACCAUAAUCACCGGCUUUCUCGGCGCGGGCAAAACAACAAUCAUCCUUAAUCUGAUCCCCCAAGUACCCCCAGACUACCGGCUAGCUCUUCUAAAAAACGAGUUUGGGGAUCUGGCCGUGGACUCUCAAUUAGCAUCUGCGAACUCCAUUUCCGGCGUCCGCGAGCUUCUCAACGGAUGCAUCUGCUGCAACCUCGUGGGGCAACUGGGCGACGCCCUCCUCCAACUCUGCGAUGAAGUAAAUCCAGACCGCAUCGUCAUCGAGACGAGCGGCAGCGCAUUCCCCGCCACGUUAGCAAUGGAAGUGAACCGAAUCUCGCGUGAGAACGAUGGCAAAUUCGUAUUAGAUGGGGUCAUCAGCGUGAUAGACGUGGAGAACUGGGAAGGCUACGAUGACACCUCAUACACGGCGAAGUUGCAAGCGAAGUACACGGAUCUGAUCAUUUUCAAUAAAUGGGAGGACGUACCGGAGGACCGGUUUGAUGUGUGUUUAGACCGCGCGGCAGAUCUGGAGCUUGAUACGGCCUGGGUAAAGUCUGCAAAGGGUUUCGUGGACAAGGACGUCUUGUUGGGAAUUGAUGGGGCGUUGCUGGCCAAGGAGAUAUCUGAUCGCGGACAUGCUUCAUUGGAUCUUGUGUUGUUGAACGGAAUUGAUAAUACGGCGGCUAAGGAGGCUUAUGUGCAAGAGCAUAGUCAUGGGCUUGGUGAGCCUCGGGAAAAUGAGCAUCAGUCCGAGGUGGACGUGCUCUCGGUUUCGCUUACCAGCUCUCAGCCGUCCGACACUGUCAAUACGGAGGCAUUUACUACGCUCCUCUUAUCCGCGCCCAAGGAUGAGGUCUACAGGAUAAAAGGCAUUAUCCAAUUCCCGGCUGAUUCACCUCCGGAAGACUCGUCAGGAGAAAAGGCUCAGGCGCCUACACCAAAACCGACACCAGCACCCACAAGGGACGAAGGAAAUGGAAAUGUUGAUGGAGUUGUCGCACCUGAGAGAGGAGCAGCCACCAUCAAGACGCAGAAUUACAUCCUUAACUGGGCGUUUGGCCGAUGGACGUAUACUCGCUCUCCGGCUUCCAUAGGCAAUGCUUCUAGCACUAGUAAAGAAGGCGCAAGAACGGUACCUCCCGAAAGCACCAUAAUUGCAUCUAUGACACUCAUCCUUGCCAGAGGUGAAUCUCAUAAGUGGACGCGGAAACUAGAGAGUGAAGGGCUGUUGGAGGUCGCAGGUGACUCUGCAGAAAAUAGGCGGGGAGUGACAAAGGUGGAGCGGCUUGCUUGAUGCGUUGAUGUACAGGUUGACAAGGGGCAGGGAGGGGUGACAAGAUAUGAAAGUUUACCUGAUGUAUGUACAUACAUACUACGAGAAGCGAUCUCAAGCUAAUAUUAUUGCAUCUAUUGUAUAUAUUUUUCGUAUAUAAUUUUCUAUAUGUUGGAAGCCAAAAGCAGCUGGAUUUCAUAGAAGUUUGGAUAGACAAAACAGGGACAAGGGUAACGGGAGAAAGUCUGAUAUACACUUACAAAAUUUAUCAAACAUCAAAUGAA
This 1631-nucleotide small RNA is filed under the name Histoplasma capsulatum var. duboisii H88. Its description in RNAcentral is "Histoplasma capsulatum H88 hypothetical RNA". Lineage: Eukaryota; Fungi; Ascomycota; Eurotiomycetes; Onygenales; Ajellomycetaceae. The record is from RNAcentral.